AGAGUUUGAUCAUGGCUCAGGACGAACGCUGGCGGCGUGCUUAACACAUGCAAGUCGAGCGGCAGCGCGGGGCAACCUGGCGGCGAGCGGCGAACGGGUGAGUAAUGCAUCGGAACGUGUCCAUGUCGUGGGGGAUAGCCCGGCGAAAGCCGGAUUAAUACCGCAUACGCCCGAGAGGGGAAAGUGGGGGACCGCAAGGCCUCACGCGAUUGGAUCGGCCGAUGUCCGAUUAGCUAGUUGGCGGGGUAAAGGCCCACCAAGGCGAUGAUCGGUAGCUGGUCUGAGAGGAUGAUCAGCCACACUGGGACUGAGACACGGCCCAGACUCCUACGGGAGGCAGCAGUGGGGAAUUUUGGACAAUGGGGGCAACCCUGAUCCAGCCAUUCCGCGUGAGUGAAGAAGGCCUUCGGGUUGUAAAGCUCUUUUGUCCGGAACGAAACGGGCGACGUGAAUAUCGUUGUCUACUGACGGUACCGGAAGAAUAAGCACCGGCUAACUACGUGCCAGCAGCCGCGGUAAUACGUAGGGUGCGAGCGUUAAUCGGAAUUACUGGGCGUAAAGCGUGCGCAGGCGGUUUUGUAAGCCGGAUGUGAAAUCCCCGGGCUUAACCUGGGAAUGGCAUUCGGGACUGCAAGGCUGGAGUGCGGCAGAGGAGACUGGAAUUCCUGGUGUAGCAGUGAAAUGCGUAGAUAUCAGGAGGAACACCGAUGGCGAAGGCAGGUCUCUGGGCUGACACUGACGCUCAUGCACGAAAGCGUGGGGAGCAAACAGGAUUAGAUACCCUAGUAGUCC
This 792-nucleotide ribosomal RNA is filed under the name uncultured bacterium. RNAcentral describes it as "bacterial SSU rRNA". It matches the Rfam family "Bacterial small subunit ribosomal RNA", at positions 8 to 796 of the family's 1533-position model. The record is from RNAcentral.